CCCUCUGCAUGCUUCCAAGGUCUGUAUAUGGCAUUAACUGGAAAAACUUCCAUGCCUAGCCCUCUCUGGAUGCCAAACACCACAAUAUGCAGGCCUUUGCUGUCACGAAUCUGAAAUCCUGGGUGGUCCAAUUCAUACGUUACUACUUUGAAAUCCAGGCUAGGAUUCAGCUCUUUAAGAACAUCAAUUAGGACCUCCACAUUCCAGGUAUGGGCUUGUGCUCCAUCACUUUUAUCUUUCCCAUCGCUCCAAAUUCCACUGCCAGGAGCCGAAAUAGAUUGUAAUGGAAUACCAUCCGUCAACCCCGAAUGCGUUCGAGCCAUCAUCCCCAGAACCCUGGCAACCUGGGCAGCCGUCACCUCCCGGACUCCAAACUGCAUGAUUAUGUUGCGACAUUCUUCAAUGCUUGUACAAAAGCCAUAGCCAACUUCUUGCAUAAAGUCUGCCAGAGAACUCUCCAUCAUUGUUUUGGCUAUCCCUCCAGAAUCAGGCAGGAUCCUGUCCAUUAGAAUGUCCCGUUUUUCAGGGUAUAGAAGUGGUGCAAGCACCACAGGGCAACGCUCCUGGGGAAAAUCUCUACGUAAUGUUUUGAGGAAAGCGUCAAUCUGUUCCUGUCCCACCCCAAAG
This 627-nucleotide long non-coding RNA is filed under the name Gallus gallus (chicken). The record is from RNAcentral. Lineage: Eukaryota; Metazoa; Chordata; Aves; Galliformes; Phasianidae.